RNAcentral lists this ribosomal RNA (492 nucleotides) under uncultured bacterium. RNAcentral's name for it is "partial 16S ribosomal RNA". It matches the Rfam family "Bacterial small subunit ribosomal RNA", at positions 29 to 507 of the family's 1533-position model. The record is from RNAcentral.
AGUGAACGCUGGCGGUAGGCCUAACACAUGCAAGUCGAGCGGCAGCACAGUAAGAGCUUGCUCUUACGGGUGGCGAGUGGCGGACGGGUGAGGAAUACAUCGGAAUCUACUUUUUCGUGGGGGAUAACGUAGGGAAACUUACGCUAAUACCGCAUACGACCUACGGGUGAAAGCAGGGGAUCUUCGGACCUUGCGCGAUUGAAUGAGCCGAUGUCGGAUUAGCUAGUUGGCGGGGUAAAGGCCCACCAAGGCGACGAUCCGUAGCUGGUCUGAGAAGAUGAUCAGCCACACUGGAACUGAGACACGGUCCAGACUCCUACGGGAGGCAGCAGUGGGGAAUAUUGGACAAUGGGCGCAAGCCUGAUCCAGCCAUACCGCGUGGGUGAAGAAGGCCUUCGGGUUGUAAAGCCCUUUUGUUGGGAAAGAAAAGCAGCAGGUUAAUACCCCGCUGUUCUGACGGUACCCAAAGAAUAAGCACCGGCUAACUUCGUG